Molecule: ribosomal RNA, 525 nt
Filed under: Trichoderma viride
Lineage: Eukaryota; Fungi; Ascomycota; Sordariomycetes; Hypocreales; Hypocreaceae
Description: eukaryotic LSU rRNA
Rfam family: 5.8S ribosomal RNA (bases 151-304)
Source: RNAcentral
UUACCAAACUGUUGCCUCGGCGGGGUCACGCCCCGGGUGCGUCGCAGCCCCGGAACCAGGCGCCCGCCGGAGGAACCAACCAAACUCUUUCUGUAGUCCCCUCGCGGACGUAUUUCUUACAGCUCUGAGCAAAAAUUCAAAAUGAAUCAAAACUUUCAACAACGGAUCUCUUGGUUCUGGCAUCGAUGAAGAACGCAGCGAAAUGCGAUAAGUAAUGUGAAUUGCAGAAUUCAGUGAAUCAUCGAAUCUUUGAACGCACAUUGCGCCCGCCAGUAUUCUGGCGGGCAUGCCUGUCCGAGCGUCAUUUCAACCCUCGAACCCCUCCGGGGGAUCGGCGUUGGGGAUCGGGACCCCUCACACGGGUGCCGGCCCCGAAAUACAGUGGCGGUCUCGCCGCAGCCUCUCCUGCGCAGUAGUUUGCACAACUCGCACCGGGAGCGCGGCGCGUCCACGUCCGUAAAACACCCAACUUUCUGAAAUGUUGACCUCGGAUCAGGUAGGAAUACCCGCUGAACUUAAGCAUAU